Eucalyptus grandis is the source of this 648-nucleotide long non-coding RNA. RefSeq lists it as uncharacterized. The transcript is spliced from 3 exons. The record is from RefSeq and is a predicted model, not a curated record. NCBI's taxonomy places the organism in Eukaryota, Viridiplantae, Streptophyta, Magnoliopsida, Myrtales, Myrtaceae.
GUGAACCGGUUCGCUGUUAUCAUUGCUGAGGAUGUAGUGUUGUAGUUGAUUCUCGCCGGACGACACCAUGUAAAUUAUGUGAAGAGUAUCACAAAAAUCAUUCAUUGCUCCAAAGGAAAAAGCAACGUUGCUACGGUUACUCCAACGUGAGUAUUAUUUGACUUAUUGGCGAUAGGAUGCUGGAAUUUUCAUAUCCAACCAGGAUGUGUGACAAAGUUUUCACUCAUCAGGGUCGGAGUGGGAUUCAUUAGGGUGAAUUCAGCCUAUUUCCUCACCUUUUAUGGCGAAGAGUUAGGAAAGUUUUGGCCUCGUGCAGUUCAGCGACAACGUAUCCGAAGUCCAUCCGUUCACGAUGCAGCCGUUGAGAUGACCUCGAUCUGAAGGAUCAUAGCCAAGCACGUGCUUAUGUUGCCGUUGUCCUCCAACUCCCUCUCUUCUUUCGAAUUUAGUAAGAGAUCUAUGACCUGCAUGAGCCUAUCUGGAACAGCCGUUUUGAUGAAACAAUGGAGGUUGAAGUUGUCCAUAUACAUGCUCUCCGUGGAUCUCUUUUCUGUGAACAAUUCGAGCAAGGGAACCCCGUAGCUGUAGACAUCGACAUUGGUUGAUAAUUGUCAUAUUCUGCAACAUACAUUAUGAUGAUCUGGCCAA